Non-coding RNA from Acanthosepion pharaonis, 105 nucleotides. NCBI's taxonomy places the organism in Eukaryota, Metazoa, Mollusca, Cephalopoda, Sepiida, Sepiidae. The record is from the annotation of a GenBank genome assembly.
CACAUCACAUUGAAACACCAUUUCCCAUACAGUCACCAAAGUUAAGCAACAUUGAGCCUGGUCAGCACCAAGAUGGGUGAUGGCUUGGGAAUACCAGGUGCUGUA